UUGAAAUCUGAUAAAAAAAACGACAAAACUGUUGAAUUGAACACUACCAACUGUUAUUCAGUUCUUAAAGAAACUCCAACAUAGGUAUGAAGGACCCUCACUUCAGGUUGCCAUGUUAUCUUGUAGGGUUUCACAUCUCUGAGAAAUACAAAGGAAGCCGCCAUUGCUAGAUUUGAUGAAUGAAGGAGAAUAUGAAGAAAUGAGGUAAUUGCUUGAUGAUGUAGAAAAUCGACUGAAUAGCGAUAUUUAUAGAGAACUUAGAUGUCUAGGGUUGGUCAAGUCAAUUUGAGAAAAUUCUUUGAGAGCAA
Long non-coding RNA from Arabidopsis lyrata subsp. lyrata, 308 nucleotides. RefSeq lists it as uncharacterized. The record is from RefSeq and is a predicted model, not a curated record. Lineage: Eukaryota; Viridiplantae; Streptophyta; Magnoliopsida; Brassicales; Brassicaceae. The transcript is spliced from 2 exons.